GCAUUGGUGGCCCAGUGGUAGAGGUCCCGCCUGCCAUGCCGGCGGCCCGGGUUCGUAUCCCGGCCAAUGCC
RNAcentral lists this transfer RNA (71 nucleotides) under Anguilla anguilla (European eel). It matches the Rfam family "tRNA". From Rfam's summary of the family: Transfer RNA (tRNA) molecules are approximately 80 nucleotides in length. The record is from Rfam by way of RNAcentral. Lineage: Eukaryota; Metazoa; Chordata; Actinopteri; Anguilliformes; Anguillidae.